Molecule: long non-coding RNA, 704 nt
Organism: Homo sapiens (human)
Lineage: Eukaryota; Metazoa; Chordata; Mammalia; Primates; Hominidae
Exons: 3
Source: RefSeq, a predicted model, not a curated record
UUAGGAGGUGAAGUCUGUAUCUCUUUCUCUUGAAUCUGAGUUCUGUAGCUUUGCAACCAAAAGCUUACGCAGGGGUAUUACUGGGCCAAUUUCUGAGCCAAGGCUUUAAGAAACACAGUUUCCACUUCCUCUGUCUCUUUCUCUUAAAACCCAGCCACCAUGCUGUGAGGAAGCACAAGCUUCUCAGUAGGAAGGCCCAUGCGGACAGGAACCAACAGUCCGUACUGACUUGCCAGCCAUGUGAGUAUCCGUCCUGGAGGCAGGGCCUCCAGCCUCAGUUGAGCUGCCCAGUUGGCCCUGGAGGGAGCUGUCCUCGUCAAGCUUGGAGAAACUGAAGAUUUGAAACUAGUUAAGAGUUACUUGAGUAUGUGCUCCAGCAAAAAGAAUGAGUGAAUGAAGAGAGAGGAAGAUAUAGUCUAUGGCAGUGUAAAUUUAAUUUACAAAAUUAAUAAAGGAAAGUACAAUGAUGAUGGCUCUACAGUUGAUCUAGAGAACCUAUCUACAGGUCAGAAUAAACCAGAGAAGAGUCACGUCUAGGAAGGAUGUUUGAAAUGUUACAUUAGGAGGCUGACAGCUGUUCCUUCCUGAGGUUUGGAGGUGAGAAUUAUUGACAUAACCCCAGUAUCAUGGAGCACUCCUCUCUGCAAGUGUAAAGUGCUGUGUGUUGUUUGAAGAACACUGCAUGUGCUAUCUUCCUCAGUACU